RNAcentral lists this ribosomal RNA (253 nucleotides) under uncultured bacterium. Its description in RNAcentral is "partial 16S ribosomal RNA". It matches the Rfam family "Bacterial small subunit ribosomal RNA", at positions 524 to 776 of the family's 1533-position model. The record is from RNAcentral.
UACGUAGGUGGCAAGCGUUGUCCGGAUUUACUGGGCGUAAAGAGCGCGCAGGCGGUCGUUUAAGUCGAAUGUGAAAGCCCCCGGCUCAACUGGGGAGGGUCAUUCGAUACUGAUCGACUUGAAGGCAGGAGAGGGAAGUGGAAUGCCGGGUGUAGUGGUGAAAUGCGUAGAGAUGCGGCGGAACACCGAUGGCGAAGGCAGCCCCCUGGGCUGAGAUUGACGCUCAGGCACGAAAGCGUGGGGAGCAAACAGG